This 253-nucleotide ribosomal RNA is filed under the name uncultured bacterium. RNAcentral's name for it is "partial 16S ribosomal RNA". It matches the Rfam family "Bacterial small subunit ribosomal RNA", at positions 524 to 776 of the family's 1533-position model. The record is from RNAcentral.
UACGGGGGGAGCAAGCGUUGUUCGGAUUUACUGGGCGGACAGGGCGCGUAGGCGGCGCAACAAGUCACUUGUGAAAUCUCCGGGCUUAACCCGGAGCGGCCAAGUGAUACUGUCGUGCUAGAGUGCGGAAGGGGCUACUGGAAUUCUCGGUGUAGCGGUGAAAUGCGUAGAUAUCGAGAGGAACACCUGCGGCGAAGGCGGGUAGCUGGGCCGACACUGACGCUGAGGCGCGAAAGCCAGGGGAGCGAACGGG